GAGGACCAUAGCUCAGUGAUAGAGCAUUUCCUUUGCAUGCAGAAGGUCCCUGGUCAAUCCCUGGUGUCUGCA
Non-coding RNA from Podarcis lilfordi (Lilford's wall lizard), 72 nucleotides. NCBI's taxonomy places the organism in Eukaryota, Metazoa, Chordata, Lepidosauria, Squamata, Lacertidae. The record is from the annotation of a GenBank genome assembly.